CGGGGGGAGCAAGCGUUGUCGGAUUUACUGGGCGUAAAGGGUCGCGUAGGCGGCCACCGCAAGUCGACUGUGAAAUCUCCGGGCUUAACCCGGAAAGGUCAGCCGAUACUGCGGGCUAGAGUGCAGAAGGGGCAACUGGAAUUCUCGGUGUAGCGGUGAAAUGCGUAGAUAUCGAGAGGAACACCUGCGGCGAAGGCGGGUUGCUGGGCUGACACUGACGCUGAUGCGCGAAAGCUAGGGGAGCGAACGGGAUUAGAUACCCCCGGUAGUCCUAGCCUUAAACGAUGAAUGCUUGGUGUCUGGGGUUUUAUAGUCCCCGGGUGCCGUCGCUAACGCUUUAAGCAUUCCGCCUGGGGAGUACGGUCGCAAGACUG
Molecule: ribosomal RNA, 374 nt
Filed under: uncultured organism
Description: bacterial SSU rRNA
Rfam family: Bacterial small subunit ribosomal RNA
Source: RNAcentral